This 3805-nucleotide long non-coding RNA is filed under the name Homo sapiens (human). RNAcentral describes it as "HSALNT0314354". Lineage: Eukaryota; Metazoa; Chordata; Mammalia; Primates; Hominidae. The record is from RNAcentral.
AGCCAGAGUGCUUUGUCCGAGCUCAAAAAAGCCGUCUCCAUGGAAGCGGCCCUUCCGCUCGGAGCCCGGCGGCCUGGAGGGAGACCCGGCGGGGAUGCGAGGAUUCCGCCCCAGCCCCAGAGGACGCGGCGGAGAGCCUGGAGGAGGCGCUUUGAGAGUCGAGGUCUCCCGCCCGCGCGCCUCCCUGGCGCAGACCUCUUUUAACUUUUUGGCGUGGAGUGCGCGUCCUGACGUGCCCCCUGAGCUACAGCUUACUGAGCUUUACUGGCUUCGCCGGACAGCCGUCCCCAGGUGGAGAGACAGCGCGUCGCGCGCUGCCCGGGCCCCGCAGGGCCUGGCGCCUGGGGCCCUUGCGCCGCUUUGGGGCGAGGGGAUCACACCGCGGGCUCCCGGAGCUUAGCGUCUUCCACGCGGCGCUGUGUGUCAUCCACGCAGUGUGCUCUCGCUGCCGUGUUCAGGUCACUGCGAGGGUGAGCCCCGCUUUAUCUACCCCUUCUGCUGUUGAUGGGCACUCGUCUGGGGCUAGAAGGGAUAAGGUUGCUGUGAGCGUUCUCGUGUGUUUUUGGUGCACGCGCACACACAUUUCUCUGGGGUGCAGACCUGUCUAGUAGUGGAACUGCCGUUUCCCAGCACUUUGGAGCAAAGCCCUGUUGCAGUCUGAAGCGGAAAAGGCAGACGGGCCUUCCAUGUUCGUGAUUCCAGCCAGGCACAGAAGGGAAGGACAGGGACAGCAGCCGCGCGGAGGCGAGGAGGGACACUGGGCGCUGCUGUCCCCUCUCAGGGGCAGCCACUCCUCUUGUGGACGCAGGUGUGGUCACCAGAAGGGAAGGACAGCAGAGGACUCUUCAGGGACCUUCCUGGAUCCCCCUGCAAUGGGAGUGGCCUACUUGCUUGACUUGAGGGUGAGACUUGGUCAGCCCUUGACUGUAGGGGGCAGGACCAUGGGCUUCAGUGGGGCAGCACCCAUGACCCACGCCUCUGCUUCCAUUCCCUGCUUACUGCCCGGGCCUCUGGGCAGGGGAGUCUAGUCUCCCUUCCCAGGCUUCCAAUGCCUCGCCCCCUGCUGUGGUAAGGAUUCGCGCUGGUCCCUAUUUAUUAAUCAGGGAACUUGGGGUUCCAGUUUUCUCCCCUUCUCUGCAUCUCAUCCCCUUGAGAGCCCCCUGGAGCAGAGGAUAACGCACGAGGGGACUGGCUGUGUAUAUUUUGAUAACAAUAUCAAAAUACUGUCAAAUACUAAACGGAAAAGAAAUAGGAAAACAUUGAACUUUAUUAAAAUGAACUUCAAAAGACACCAUUAAGAGUAAAAAGAUGACUCACAAAAAAGUUGCCUUUUGUUCAGUAAACGACUCAGGACCAGAAAAUAUGAAGACCCCUACAACAAGAAAAAUAUAGAUAGCUCAGUUAAAAAUUGACAAAAGACUUGAAAAGAUAUUUCACAAAAGGAGAGAUCCAGACAGUCAAUCCACACACGAAAGGGUACUUAGCAUCAGGGAACUGCAAAUAGUGACAUUCGAUUCCAUAUCACAGCCACUGGAUGGCUAAAAUAGCAACGCCAAGUGCUGAUGAGACUGUGGAACAACCAGCUGGGCUCUCAUACCCUGCUGAUGGGAGAGUGGAUUGGAGCAACCACGUGGAAACAUCUAAUGGAGGUAAGCAAACGCCUGCCAUAGGAACCAGCGUGUAUAUCCAAGGGAACCGAGUGCUAGGUUCCUGAUCAUGGUCAAGAUCGCCUACAGCAAAUUUACUUAUUUAUUUUAAUCCCCCAACAAAUGUCUUUAAUGUCUUUAGAAAGAUUAAUUAAAUGGUAGUAUUUUAAGAAUGCAAUGGUAUACUGCACAGCAACAAAAAAAUAACAAACUGCUAAUACUUGCAGCAACAUGGAUAAAUCUCAAAGUAUUGAAUGCAAAGCUACAAUAGAGUGCAUAACUAAGGAUUCCAUUAUAUAAAAUACAAAAUCCAGGCAAGACUGAUCUACAGUGUUAGAGGUCAGGAGAGAAUUUUGGAGGUAGUUGCUUGGGCACCGGGAUACUGCGUGGGGAGCUGUGAGUGCUGCAUAUCUUUAGCUGCGUCCUGCUUGGAGUGCAUACUCUGUGAAAAUUCAUCAACCUGUGCACUUAAGACUUGUGUACUUACAUUAUCUUUCAGGAAAAAGAAAAGAAAAGUAUGCCAAACUUUACCCUUCACCUUUCUUCUCAAAAUGGUCAGGUUUCAGAGCUGUGGUAGAAACUUCUAGUACUGACAACAGCCAGUACCUCCCCGCUUGGCAGCUGAGACUAUGGGACCAGUUCUGGCCAAUGGAAUGUGAGGGGAAAUGACGGAUGUCAAUUCCAGGCUGAAGCUUUUAGUUGCCAGAGCCAGGUCCUCCAGUCCUACCUUUCCACUGUGGCAGUCCCUCUGAAGUCCCAAGAUCAAGAGCUGACAGCUGAAUCCUUGCAUGGAGAGUCGCCUGGACCUGCAGUGGACUCUGGAUGAGGGAGUAUACACCGAAAGGGAGGCAUGACAGCUCCACAUCUGUGUUCACCCUUGUGGAUCCCAGGUGAGACUCCAGAUGAAAUGGGAGAGUUCUCUGACCCCCUCACAGGACAUGUGACAGGAGUGUGGCUAGUCUGUUCAGCCUCCACCACUGCUGAAACACCUUAUGGGAGGGGGAGCAUGCAGAUGGGCAAGCGCAGGUGCCAGGGCCAGCGCUUUUGGGCUUCAACCCCAUGGUGGCAUCUAGGGGUGUGUGUCUGUGACUCCUGAAGCCCCAGUGUGUGUGCUCCAGUGCUCUUUUAGCUCUGCUGUCUGUCAGGCCUCUGAGCCCAAGCUAAGCCAUCAGAUCCCCUGUGACCUGCACGUAUACAUCCAGACGGCCUGAAGCAACUGAAGAACCACAAAAGAAGUGAAAAUAGCCAGUUCCUGCCUUAACUGAUGACAAUCCACCAUUGUGAUUUGUUCCUGCCCCACCCUAACUGAUCAAUUGGCCUUGUGACAUUCCUUCUCCUGGGCAACGAGUCUCAUGAUCUCCCCACCCUGCACCUUGUGAGCCCCGUCCCUGCCCACAAGAGAUAACCACCUUUAACUGUAAUUUUCCACUACCUACCCAAAUCAUAUAAAACUGUCCCACCCCUAUCUCCCUUUGCUGACUUCUUUUUCAGACUCAGUCUGCCUGCACCCAGGUGAUUAAAAAGUUUUAUUGCUCACACAAAGCCUGUUUGGUGGUCUCUUCACAUGGACUCUUGUAACAUUUGGUGCUGAAAAACCUGGGACAGGGGAUCUCCCUCGGGAGAUCAAUCCCCUGUCCUUGCCCUCUCUCCGUGAGGAGAUCCACCUAUGACGUCGGAUCCUCAGACCAGCCCAAGGAACAUCUCACCAAUUUUAAAUCAGGUAAGUGGCCUCUUUUUAUUCUCUUCUCCAAGCUUUCUUGCUAUCCCUCCACCCUUCAAUCUCUCCCUUCCUUAAUUUCAGUUCCUUUCCCUUUCUGGUAGAGACAGAGGAGACACAUUUUAUCCGUGAACUCAAAACUCCAGUGCCAGUCAUGGACUCGGGAAGACAGUCUUCCCUUGGUGUCUAAUCACUGCGGGGAUGCCUGCCUGAUUAUUCACCCAUAUUUCAGAGGUGUCUGAUCACCACGGGGAUGCCUGCCAUGAUCCUUCACCUUGGCGGCAAGUACCACCUCCCCUGGGUGGCAAGUACCACCCCCCCGCCCAACCCCGUGUCUCUACCCUCUCUUUUCUCUAAACUUACCUUUUUACUAUGGGCAACCUUCCACCCUCCAUUCCUCCUUCUCCUCCUUUAGCCUGUGUUCUAAAAAACUUAAAACCUC